GGCGGCAUGCCUAACACAUGCAAGUCGAACGUGAUCCAAGCCUUCGGGUUUGGUGAAAGUGGCAGACGGGUGAGUAACGCGUGGGAACCUGCCCAAUGGUAGGGAAUAACCGCGGGAAACUGCGGCUAAUACCCUAUGUGCCCUAUGGGGCAAAGAUUUAUCGCCAUUGGAGGGGCCCGCGUCGGAUUAGGUAGUUGGUAGGGUAACGGCCUACCAAGCCAUCGAUCCGUAGCUGGUCUGAGAGGAUGAUCAGCCACACUGGGACUGAGAUACGGCCCAGACUCCUACGGGAGGCAGCAGUGGGGAAUAUUGGACAAUGGGGGCAACCCUGAUCCAGCAAUGCCGCGUGAGUGAUGAAGGCCUUCGGGUUGUAAAGCUCUUUCGGCGGGGAAGAUGAUGACGGUACCCGCAGAAGAAGCCCCGGCUAACUUCGUGCCAGCAGCCGCGGUAAUACNAAGGGGGCUAGCGUUGUUCGGAAUUACUGGGCGUAAAGGGCGCGUA
Molecule: ribosomal RNA, 501 nt
Filed under: uncultured Alphaproteobacteria bacterium
Lineage: Bacteria; Pseudomonadati; Pseudomonadota; Alphaproteobacteria
Description: bacterial SSU rRNA
Rfam family: Bacterial small subunit ribosomal RNA
Source: RNAcentral